RNAcentral lists this ribosomal RNA (464 nucleotides) under uncultured bacterium. RNAcentral's name for it is "bacterial SSU rRNA". It matches the Rfam family "Bacterial small subunit ribosomal RNA", at positions 28 to 502 of the family's 1533-position model. The record is from RNAcentral.
GAUGAACGCUAGCGGGAGGCCUAAUACAUGCAAGUCGAACGGUAACAGGGGUAGCAAUACCUGCUGACGAGUGGCGCACGGGUGCGUAACGCGUACACAACCUGCCUUAUACUGGGGCAUAACCUUGGGAAACUGAGGCUAAUUCUCCAUAACAUAUCGAAAAGGCAUCUUUUUGAUAUUAAAACUCCGGUGGUAUAAGAUGGGUGUGCGUCCGAUUAGGUAGUUGGUGAGGUAACGGCUCACCAAGCCAACGAUCGGUAGCUGGUCUGAGAGGAUGAUCAGCCACACGGGCACUGAGACACGGGCCCGACUCCUACGGGAGGCAGCAGUAGGGAAUAUUGCACAAUGGGCGAAAGCCUGAUGCAGCAACGCCGCGUGUGGCGAUGAAAGGCCUUCGGGUCGUAAAGCACUUUCUGGGAGAUGAGCAAGGAACAGUAAUCUCAGGAAUAAGUACUCGGCUAACU